Molecule: ribosomal RNA, 229 nt
Filed under: uncultured bacterium
Lineage: Bacteria
Description: partial 16S ribosomal RNA
Rfam family: Bacterial small subunit ribosomal RNA
Source: RNAcentral
UACGUAGGAGGCAAGCGUUGUCCGGAGUUACUGGGCGUAAAGCGCACGCAGGCGGUCAGAUCAGUCUGGAGUGACAGUCGUCGGCUUAACCGACGAAGUGUUCUGGAAACUGUCUGACUUGAGGGCUUCAGAGGGACACGGAAUUCCGGGUGGAGUGGUGAAAUGCGUAGAUAUCCGGAGGAACACCAAUGGCGAAGGCAGUGUCCUGGGAAGUACCGUGACGCUCAGG